RNAcentral lists this ribosomal RNA (253 nucleotides) under uncultured bacterium. RNAcentral describes it as "partial 16S ribosomal RNA". It matches the Rfam family "Bacterial small subunit ribosomal RNA", at positions 524 to 776 of the family's 1533-position model. The record is from RNAcentral.
UACGGAGGGGGCUAGCGUUGUUCGGAAUUACUGGGCGUAAAGCGCACGUAGGCGGCUUUGCAAGUUAGAGGUGAAAGCCCGGGGCUCAACCCCGGAAUUGCCUUUAAAACUGCAUCGCUAGAAUUGUGGAGAGGUAAGUGGAAUUCCGAGUGUAGAGGUGAAAUUCGUAGAUAUUCGGAAGAACACCAGUGGCGAAGACGACUUACUGGACACAUAUUGACGCUGAGGUGCGAAAGCGUGGGGAGCAAACAGG